GAUGAAGAACGUAGCGAAAUGCGAUAAGUAAUGUGAAUUGCAGAAUUCAGUGAAUCAUCGAAUCUUUGAACGCACCUUGCACCCUUUGGACUGCUCCAAAGGGUAUGCUCGUUUGAGUGUCAUUGUACUCUCACACUCUCUGAUCCUUUGGAUUUGGGGAGCAGUGGACUUGGGUGCUUACUGCUUCCUUGUGGCUCACCUGAAAUGCAUCAGUGCAUCUCUCGAUUGGACAUAGUACGGCGUGAUAAGUGUCUUCGCCGGCACCUCAUAUGAGGGUGGCCGAUCGGGAGCUCUGUGCUUUCAAACCGUCUUCGGACAACGCUGACAACUUGACCUCAAAUCGAGUAGGACUACCCGCUGAACUUAAGCAUAUCAAUAAGCGGAGGA
Molecule: unclassified non-coding RNA, 387 nt
Filed under: soil metagenome
Description: partial contains 5.8S ribosomal RNA, internal transcribed spacer 2, and large subunit ribosomal RNA
Rfam family: 5.8S ribosomal RNA (bases 1-122)
Source: RNAcentral